This 1826-nucleotide small RNA is filed under the name uncultured Antarctic cyanobacterium. RNAcentral's name for it is "bacterial SSU rRNA". The stretch from base 1 to 1184 matches the Rfam family "Bacterial small subunit ribosomal RNA", at positions 335 to 1533 of the family's 1533-position model. The record is from RNAcentral. Lineage: Bacteria; Bacillati; Cyanobacteriota.
ACUCCUACGGGAGGCAGCAGUGGGGAAUUUUCCGCAAUGGGCGCAAGCCUGACGGAGCAAGACCGCGUGAGGGAGGAAGGCUCUUGGGUUGUAAACCUCUUUUAUCAGGGAAGAAGAUCUGACGGUACCUGAUGAAUCAGCAUCGGCUAACUCCGUGCCAGCAGCCGCGGUAAUACGGAGGAUGCAAGCGUUAUCCGGAUUUAUUGGGCGUAAAGCGUCCGCAGGUGGUUUUUCAAGUCUGCUGUUAAAGCGCAGAGCUUAACUCUGUAACGGCGGUGGAAACUGAGAGACUAGAGUAUGGUAGGGGUUGCGGGAACUCCCAGUGUAGCGGUGAAAUGCGUAGAUAUUGGGAAGAACACCAGCGGCGAAAGCGCGCAACUGGGCCAUUACUGACACUCAUGGACGAAAGCUAGGGGAGCGAAAGGGAUUAGAUACCCCUGUAGUCCUAGCUGUAAACGAUGGGUACUAGGUGUUGACCGUAUCGACCCGGUCAGUGCCGUAGCUAACGCGUUAAGUACCCCGCCUGGGGAGUAUGCACGCAAGUGUGAAACUCAAAGGAAUUGACGGGGGCCCGCACAAGCGGUGGAGUAUGUGGUUUAAUUCGAUGCAACGCGAAGAACCUUACCAGGGCUUGACAUGUCGCGAAUCUCGGUGAAAGUCGAGAGUGCCUUCGGGAGCGCGAACACAGGUGGUGCAUGGCUGUCGUCAGCUCGUGUCGUGAGAUGUUGGGUUAAGUCCCGCAACGAGCGCAACCCUCGUUUUUAGUUGCCAGCAUUUAGUUGGGCACUCUAGAGAGACUGCCGGUGACAAACCGGAGGAAGGUGGGGAUGACGUCAAGUCAGCAUGCCCCUUACGUCCUGGGCUACACACGUACUACAAUGCUACGGACAGAGGGUUGCGAGCAUGCGAAUGCAAGCUAAUCCCGUAAACCGUGGCUCAGUUCAGAUUGCAGGCUGCAACUCGCCUGCAUGAAGGCGGAAUCGCUAGUAAUCGCAGGUCAGCAUACUGCGGUGAAUACGUUCCCGGGCCUUGUACACACCGCCCGUCACACCAUGGGAGUUGGCCACGCCCGAAGUCGUUACUCCAACCGUUCGCGGAGGAGGACGCCGAAGGCAGGGCUGAUGACUGGGGUGAAGUCGUAACAAGGUAGCCGUACCGGAAGGUGUGGCUGGAUCACCUCCUUUAAGGGAGACCUGCCCGCUCUACAGUCGAAAGCAAACAGCGAAUAGAUUGAGAGUUGGUCAUCCCAAGGUCGUUCGGGUUAUGAGUGUCAAGCUUCUAAACUAUUUUGGUUCGGUAUAUGGGCUAUUAGCUCAGGUGGUUAGAGCGCACCCCUGAUAAGGGUGAGGUCCCUGGUUCGAAUCCAGGAUGGCCCACCUUAUUCCUUAGAGCCUAUUAACUUGGCAAGACAUCGAUUGUUAGGUAAAUAGAAGAAGAGGAUAAAUCAAGGGGGCUUAGCUCAGUUGGUAGAGCGCCUGCUUUGCACGCAGGAAGUCAGCGGUUCGAAUCCGCUAACCUCCACUGAGAUAGAUAGAUAAGAGCCGAGAUAACGGAAGCAAGAUUCAGCAACUCAUCUUGAUAGAACAAGAGAGCCUGCUGGAUGAGAAUCCAGUUAGAACCUUGAAAACUGCAUAGUAACUUGUCAGGUAGUAAGACAAUGACGGCCAACGAGAGCUUAAUAACUUUCUGUUGGAAACGAGUUGUCACUAUCACAGACACCAAUGUAAGCGAGACUCUAGACAAUUAGCGAAAGCUAAAGACUAGAAGUUAAAAGUGGUCAAGCUACAAAGGGCUGAUGGUGGAUACCUWGGCACACAGAGGCGADG